AAUAAAAUAUGAGGCGGGCUGGACCUCUCGGGGUUACAGCCUUGCUGAAUUAUUCACCCUUGUCUUUUGCGUACUUCUUGUUUCCUUGGUGGGUUCGCCCACCACUAGGACAAACAUAAACCUUUUGUAAUUGCAAUCAGCGUCAGUAACAAAUUAAUAAUUACAACUUUCAACAACGGAUCUCUUGGUUCUGGCAUCGAUGAAGAACGCAGCGAAAUGCGAUAAGUAGUGUGAAUUGCAGAAUUCAGUGAAUCAUCGAAUCUUUGAACGCACAUUGCGCCCUUUGGUAUUCCAAAGGGCAUGCCUGUUCGAGCGUCAUUUGUACCCUCAAGCUUUGCUUGGUGUUGGGCGUCUUGUCUCUAGCUUUGCUGGAGACUCGCCUUAAAGUAAUUGGCAGCCGGCCUACUGGUUUCGGAGCGCAGCACAAGUCGCACUCUCUAUCAGCAAAGGUCUAGCAUCCAUUAAGCCUUUUUUUCAACUUUUGACCUCGGAUCAGGUAGGGAUACCCGCUGAACUUAAGCAUAUCUAACCGGGGAAAAAAAA
This 543-nucleotide ribosomal RNA is filed under the name Alternaria solani. RNAcentral describes it as "eukaryotic LSU rRNA". The stretch from base 165 to 318 matches the Rfam family "5.8S ribosomal RNA". Lineage: Eukaryota; Fungi; Ascomycota; Dothideomycetes; Pleosporales; Pleosporaceae. The record is from RNAcentral.